This 657-nucleotide ribosomal RNA is filed under the name Triticum aestivum (bread wheat). RNAcentral describes it as "partial small subunit ribosomal RNA". The record is from RNAcentral. Lineage: Eukaryota; Viridiplantae; Streptophyta; Magnoliopsida; Poales; Poaceae.
AUGAAUAUGAUGGCAUGGUUCGCAUCACUGGUCGUUCUUGGCGCCGUCUAUGUAGCUGCCUUGGCGUUCCGCCUCGUUCGGCACUUGGCCGUGUGCUUCCGGGGUCCCAAGGACAUCCGGCGGUGCUACGGCACGUGGGCCACCAUCACGGGGCCAACAUCUGGCAUUGGAUGGUCCCUGGCCGUGGAGCUCGCGCGCAGUGGGCUGAACCUUGUCCUCGUCGGCCAAGACCCGGCCAAGCUCCGGGACAUCUCCCAGACGAUAUGCAGGGCCGCUCCCACCGUGAAGACCCAAGACUCUAGUCUUGGGCUGUCCCUCCUCGCCACCGCCCACAGCGACGAGGCGAUGCGGCGGCUGCGGCAGACCGUGGAGGCGCUGGACGUUGGCGUGCUGGUGAACAACGCCGGCGUGCUGGAGCCCUGCGCGGUGUUCCUGCACGAGGCCGGAGCGGAGGAGUGGGUGGAUAUGAGGGUGAACCUGUUGGCGCUGACGGAGGUGACAGCGGCGGUGAUUCCGGGCAUGGUGGACCGCGGGAGGGGAGCUGUAGUCAACUUGGGCUCGGCUUCGUCAGAGGCCAUCCCCUCCUUACCACUCUACACCAUGUACGCCGCCACUAAACGCUAUGUUGCUCGGUUCUCUAAGAGUCUUCACUGUUAG